AUUUUGCACAGAUUUAUGCAAAAGAUUAAGACUAGAUGUGCCUCUCUUCGCAACGGAAUGUCUCUUAGACAACAAUAUGCUAAUGGUUAUUGGCAAUCAUAGGGAGUUUUCUUGGAGGGGAUUCUAUAGUGAAGCAAUGAGAAGUUUCUUCUCUUGGACAAUGCAGGUUCUGGUGAAUUGGUGAAAUUAUUACCCACAUUAAAGUAUGUAUUGUAUCUCAUUUAUAAUGAGAAUCAUUGAUUGGAUAGAAAAGUAAAUUUUUUUUAAACUACCGAAAUAACUUUUAUUUCAGUGAAAUACGAGUGUGU
RNAcentral lists this unclassified non-coding RNA (308 nucleotides) under Hevea brasiliensis (rubber tree). Lineage: Eukaryota; Viridiplantae; Streptophyta; Magnoliopsida; Malpighiales; Euphorbiaceae. The record is from RNAcentral.